CCUGAAAAAACUGUAGUGAACAAGUCACCAGUCGAAGAUGAGCGUCUCCGAUUUGCCACGCAAUGAAUCAAACACCUUAAAAGGCCACGAAGGAGCAGUUUUAGCCGCACGAUUCAACGCCGACGGUAAUUAUUGUCUCAGCUGCGGCAAAGACCGCACCAUCCGCCUCUGGAACCCUCACCGUGGCCUCCACAUCAAAACCUACAAAUCUCACGGCCGUGAAGUCCGUGAUGUCCACGUCACUUCGGACAACUCAAAGUUAGUAUCUUGCGGUGGUGAUCGGCAAGUUUUUUACUGGGAUGUAGCAACUGGUCGUGUUAUUCGAAAAUUUCGUGGCCAUGAUAGCGAGGUGAAUGCUGUUAAGUUUAAUGAGUAUUCCUCCGUUGUAGUAUCAGCCGGGUAUGACCAGUCUUUACGUACUUGGGACUGUAGGUCUCAUAGUACUGAGCCUAUUCAGGUAAUUGAUGCAUUUCAAGAUAGUGUUAUGUCUGUUUGUUUGACGAAAACUGAAAUUAUUGGUGGAAGUGUUGAUGGGACGGUUAGAACAUUUGAUAUUCGUAUUGGUAGAGAAAUAGUUGAUGACUUAGGACAGCCUGUCAAUUGUAUUUCUAUGUCGAAUGACGGCAAUUGCUUAUUAGCAAGUUGCCUAGAUUCUACUUUGCGCCUUUUGGACAGGUCAACUAGUGAACUGUUGCAAGAAUACAAAGGCCACACUUGUAAGUCGUACAAAUUGGAUUGCUGCCUUACCAACACGGAUGCUUAUGUGGCUGGUGGAUCUGAGGAUGGCUAUGUUUACUUCUGGGAUCUUGUGGAUGCCACUGUGGUGUCUAGUUUCCGUGCUCAUUCUUCCGUGGUUACAAGUGUGAGUUACCACCCAAAGGACAACUGUAUGAUAACGGCCUCAGUUGAUGGCACCAUUCGGGUAUGGAAGACUUAACAACAAAAGCAAACAAAGCCUUCUUCAUGUCAGCCUUGCAGUUCCAAACAAACCUUGGGUGUUAAUACACUACAACAGGGACGGAACUACCCUAAGGUUAGGGCAAGCUUCAGUCUAGGCUGACGUUGGAAAUUUUAAAAAAAUAGAGGUAGGAUUUGUUGUGAUCUCAGGGUUAGAGGGAGGCUAAGCCCGGGCAGCCGGGAGGUCAAAAGUAAACUAGAAGUUAAACCUGGGCUGAAAAAAAUUCUGGAUCCGCCACCGUCUACAACUGUCACAUGGUAGUUUUCAUAAACCUUGUUUUGAAAACUUGAGAAGGCAGAAGACAGUAGGAAACAAUAUGCAAAGUCAUGACUCUUAUAUAGCAAGUCAUUUUUGUUUGUCUUUGUUGCGUGUACACGAGUUCAAUCUUUAGGCUGUGUGGUUAUUGUCUUUACUCUUUACAAAAUGCUCAUAAUUAUGAGAAUGAUUCAGAUGCUGAUGUUAGCAUUUAGUUUUUUA
This is an RNA transcript of Mercurialis annua (annual mercury), 1435 nucleotides long. RefSeq lists it as uncharacterized. The transcript is spliced from 9 exons. NCBI's taxonomy places the organism in Eukaryota, Viridiplantae, Streptophyta, Magnoliopsida, Malpighiales, Euphorbiaceae. The record is from RefSeq and is a predicted model, not a curated record.